AUUGAACGCUGGCGGCAUGCUUUACACAUGCAAGUCGAACGGCAGCGGGGGCUUCGGCCCGCCGGCGAGUGGCGAACGGGUGAGUAAUGCAUCGGAACGUGCCCAGUCGUGGGGGAUAACACAUCGAAAGAUGUGCUAAUACCGCAUACGUCCUGAGGGAGAAAGCGGGGGAUCUUCGGACCUCGCGCGAUUGGAGCGGCCGAUGUCGGAUUAGCUAGUUGGUGGGGUAAAAGCCCACCAAGGCGACGAUCCGUAGCGGGUCUGAGAGGAUGAUCCGCCACACUGGGACUGAGACACGGCCCAGACUCCUACGGGAGGCAGCAGUAGGGAAUUUUCGGCAAUGGGGGAAACCCUGACCGAGCAAUGCCGCGUGAACGAUGAAGGUCUUCGGAUUGUAAAGCUCUUUCAGUGGGGAAGAUAAUGACGGUACCCACAGAGAAGCCCCGGCUAACUUCGUGCCAGCAGCCGCGGUAAGUACGCAGCGA
This 485-nucleotide ribosomal RNA is filed under the name uncultured bacterium. RNAcentral's name for it is "bacterial SSU rRNA". It matches the Rfam family "Bacterial small subunit ribosomal RNA", at positions 29 to 533 of the family's 1533-position model. The record is from RNAcentral.